This 1144-nucleotide long non-coding RNA is filed under the name Phasianus colchicus (ring-necked pheasant). RNAcentral describes it as "lncRNA (ENSPCLG00000020125.1)". Lineage: Eukaryota; Metazoa; Chordata; Aves; Galliformes; Phasianidae. The record is from RNAcentral.
GGAUUUGGGGUCAUUUGGGGGGUGAGUCAUUGUGGGGAGAAUUUGGGGGAUUUGGGGUCAUUUUGGGGAAAUUUGGGUGGUUUUUGUGGGAUUUUGGGUCAUUUGGGGGCAGAUUUGGGGUCAUUUUUGGGUUUUUGGCUCACUUCUAUGGGAUUUUGGCUCACUUUUGAGUCGUUUUGUGGGAUUUUCAGUCGUUUUGUGGGAUUUUGUGUCCUUUUGUGGGAUCGUGGCUCACAUUUAUGGGAUUUUGGCUCACUUCUAUGUGAUUUUGGCUCACUUUUAUGGGAUUUUGUGUCAUUUUAUGGGAUUUCAGCUCACUUCUGUGGGAUUUUGGCUCACUUCUAUGGGAUUGUGGCUCACUUUUGUGGGAUUUUGGCUCACUUCUAUGGGAUUUUGGCUCACUUUUGUGGGGUUUUGUGUCCUUUUCUGGGAUUUUGGGAUCAUUUUGUGGGAUUUUGUGUCAUUUUGUGGGAUUUUGUGUCAUUUUGUGGGAUUUUGGGUCACUUUUGUGGGUUUGGGGUCAUUUUGUGGGAUUUUGGCUCAGUUUUAUGGGAUUUUGGCUCACUUUUGUGGGAUUUUGGCUCACUUUUAUGGGAUUGUGGCUCACUUUUGUGGGAUUGUGGCUCACUUUUGUGGGAUUUUGGCUCAUUUUUGUGGGAUUUUGGCUCACUUCUAUGGGAUUUUGGCUCAUUUUUGUGGGAUUUCGGCUCACUUUUGUGUCCUUUUGUGGGAUUUUGAGUCCUUUUGUGGGAUUUUGUGUCCUUUUGUGGGAUUUUGGGAUCAUUUUGUGGGAUUUUGGCUCACUUUUGUGGGAUUUUGGCUCACUUUUAUGGGAUUUUGGCUCACUUUUAUGGGAUUUUGGCUCACUUUUGUGGGAUUUCAGCUCAUUUUUAUGGGAUUUCAGCUCACUUCUAUGGGAUUUUGUGUCAUUUUAUGGGAUUUUGGCUCACUUUUGUGGGAUUUCAGCUCAUUUUUAUGGGAUUUCGGCUCACUUUUGUGGGAUUUUGCUUCCUUCCCCCCAAAAAACCCUACAGAACCUAUAGGGCAUCCAACAUGAAGACCCCUGGGGAGCAGUCGGUGCCUGCCCUCAAUUUGCAGAACGCUUUUAGGAUCAUCAAGGAGGUCCAAAAACGUUACAAGACGC